AGGAAGGCUUCCGGGACACCGUUUCGGGGGCCUUUUUCUUUUGC
This 44-nucleotide non-coding RNA is filed under the name Chelatococcus asaccharovorans. Lineage: Bacteria; Pseudomonadati; Pseudomonadota; Alphaproteobacteria; Hyphomicrobiales; Chelatococcaceae. The record is from RNAcentral.